AUGGAUUCAUAUGGUCACAAUUGUGUCGUUUCAGAUGACACAACCCAGGAUCUCUUGUUCGUAAACAAAGCGAUCUCAACUCCUCAAACCUUCUUCUCUGAUCAACAAACCCAGCUCCGUUGCUCACCGUUGUCUCACCGCUGUCUCACCGCCGUUUCACUCAUCUCUGCAACAUCGCAGAUUGUAGCACCGUGGAUGUUUGAUCUCCACCAUGAUUCUUCUCACCUCCGUGUAAACUCCUUCGUUUAUCCAUCAUGA
Molecule: non-coding RNA, 258 nt
Organism: Vicia faba (fava bean)
Lineage: Eukaryota; Viridiplantae; Streptophyta; Magnoliopsida; Fabales; Fabaceae
Source: the annotation of a GenBank genome assembly